UAAAAGAUCAUACAAUCCUUAUUAUAUCUCAAUUUUAAAAAGAAAUCAAGGACCGACUGUUACGUAAUCAUGCAGUAGUUUAACAAUAUUUGUUUACAGUUCAUGCUUCUAAAAAGAGAAAUUUGAGCCAUCCGGUGCGUCAUUUAAGUAGAUAAGUUGUUUUUGUUCAUUUGCAUGUGAUAUAAGUAGUAUAAAUAUAGUGUUUUAAACCAAAUACAUAUUAAGUCACUGAAGUCUACAAAAUACACGUUUUAAGAGGUCCUUGAAGUCUACAUACAGCAAACUGUGAGAUGGAAACUAAAUAUCUGUUUAUGCUUUUGAUUGCACUUCAUACUGUUUUUAUGUAUACAGUUGAUGCACUGCAAUCUAUCAUGGUACCAUCAAAUAUUCCAGGAUCAAGCUAUUGUGGAAAAGGUAGAAGAGUAAUUGGACAAUAUACAGUUGGUGUGAACUAAAACAUACUUUUUGUCAUAUGUUCAAAGUAGUUGAACAUGAACAUUUAUAGACGGUUCAAGUGAGACGUUCUACAACAUUGUAGAUGAUGCAACACACAAGUGAUAUCGGGGGAGACAUAAAAUCCACAUCAGUAACCACAUUAUUCAAGGGAUUCUGCUGAUAAAAGAUUUUGUAUAACAGUCGUUUUUAUUAACUAUAGAAUAAAAUAACUA
Long non-coding RNA from Mytilus trossulus (common blue mussel), 668 nucleotides. RefSeq lists it as uncharacterized. NCBI's taxonomy places the organism in Eukaryota, Metazoa, Mollusca, Bivalvia, Mytilida, Mytilidae. The transcript has 2 exons. The record is from RefSeq and is a predicted model, not a curated record.